AACGUAGUUUGACGUCGUCGUCACGGAGUGAACGCUGGCGGCGUGCCUAAUACAUGCAAGUCGAAGCGGAACAGAUAAGGAGACUUGCUCCUUUUGAAGUUAGCGGCGGACGGGGUGAGUAACACGUGGGGUAACCUACCUAUAAGACUGGGAGUAACUUCGGGAAACCGGAGCUAAUACCGGAUAACAUUUAGAACCGCAUGGUUCUAAAGUGAAAGAUGGUUUUGCUAUCACUUAUAGAUGGACCCGCGCCGUAUUAGCUAGUUGGUAAGGUAACGGCUUACCAAGGCGACGAUACGUAGCCGACCUGAGAGGGUGAUCGGCCACACUGGAACUGAGACACGGUCCAGACUCCUACGGGAGGCAGCAGUAGGGAAUCUUCCGCAAUGGGCGAAAGCCUGACGGAGCAACGCCGCGUGAGUGAUGAAGGGUUUCGGCUCGUAAAACUCUGUGAUUAGGGAAGAACAAAUGUGUAAGUAACUGUGCACAUCUUGACGGUACCUAAUCAGAAAGCCACGGCUAACUACGUG
This 530-nucleotide ribosomal RNA is filed under the name uncultured Staphylococcus sp. RNAcentral describes it as "bacterial SSU rRNA". It matches the Rfam family "Bacterial small subunit ribosomal RNA", at positions 1 to 507 of the family's 1533-position model. Lineage: Bacteria; Bacillati; Bacillota; Bacilli; Caryophanales; Staphylococcaceae. The record is from RNAcentral.